This 1566-nucleotide ribosomal RNA is filed under the name Enterococcus mundtii. Its description in RNAcentral is "bacterial SSU rRNA". It matches the Rfam family "Bacterial small subunit ribosomal RNA". Lineage: Bacteria; Bacillati; Bacillota; Bacilli; Lactobacillales; Enterococcaceae. The record is from RNAcentral.
UAUGAGAGUUUGAUCCUGGCUCAGGACGAACGCUGGCGGCGUGCCUAAUACAUGCAAGUCGAACGCUUCUUUUCCCACCGGAGCUUGCUCCACCGGGAAAAGAGGAGUGGCGAACGGGUGAGUAACACGUGGGUAACCUGCCCAUCAGAAGGGGAUAACACUUGGAAACAGGUGCUAAUACCGUAUAACAAUCGAAACCGCAUGGUUUCGUUUUGAAAGGCGCUUUACGGUGCCGCUGAUGGAUGGACCCGCGGUGCAUUAGCUAGUUGGUGAGGUAACGGCUCACCAAGGCCACGAUGCAUAGCCGACCUGAGAGGGUGAUCGGCCACAUUGGGACUGAGACACGGCCCAAACUCCUACGGGAGGCAGCAGUAGGGAAUCUUCGGCAAUGGACGGAAGUCUGACCGAGCAACGCCGCGUGAGUGAAGAAGGUUUUCGGAUCGUAAAACUCUGUUGUUAGAGAAGAACAAGGGUGAGAGUAACUGUUCACCCCUUGACGGUAUCUAACCAGAAAGCCACGGCUAACUACGUGCCAGCAGCCGCGGUAAUACGUAGGUGGCAAGCGUUGUCCGGAUUUAUUGGGCGUAAAGCGAGCGCAGGCGGUUUCUUAAGUCUGAUGUGAAAGCCCCCGGCUCAACCGGGGAGGGUCAUUGGAAACUGGGAGACUUGAGUGCAGAAGAGGAGAGUGGAAUUCCAUGUGUAGCGGUGAAAUGCGUAGAUAUAUGGAGGAACACCAGUGGCGAAGGCGGCUCUCUGGUCUGUAACUGACGCUGAGGCUCGAAAGCGUGGGGAGCAAACAGGAUUAGAUACCCUGGUAGUCCACGCCGUAAACGAUGAGUGCUAAGUGUUGGAGGGUUUCCGCCCUUCAGUGCUGCAGCUAACGCAUUAAGCACUCCGCCUGGGGAGUACGACCGCAAGGUUGAAACUCAAAGGAAUUGACGGGGGCCCGCACAAGCGGUGGAGCAUGUGGUUUAAUUCGAAGCAACGCGAAGAACCUUACCAGGUCUUGACAUCCUUUGACCACUCUAGAGAUAGAGCUUCCCCUUCGGGGGCAAAGUGACAGGUGGUGCAUGGUUGUCGUCAGCUCGUGUCGUGAGAUGUUGGGUUAAGUCCCGCAACGAGCGCAACCCUUAUUGUUAGUUGCCAUCAUUUAGUUGGGCACUCUAGCAAGACUGCCGGUGACAAACCGGAGGAAGGUGGGGAUGACGUCAAAUCAUCAUGCCCCUUAUGACCUGGGCUACACACGUGCUACAAUGGGAAGUACAACGAGUCGCGAAGUCGCGAGGCUAAGCUAAUCUCUUAAAGCUUCUCUCAGUUCGGAUUGUAGGCUGCAACUCGCCUACAUGAAGCCGGAAUCGCUAGUAAUCGCGGAUCAGCACGCCGCGGUGAAUACGUUCCCGGGCCUUGUACACACCGCCCGUCACACCACGAGAGUUUGUAACACCCGAAGUCGGUGAGGUAACCUUUUUGGAGCCAGCCGCCUAAGGUGGGAUAGAUGAUUGGGGUGAAGUCGUAACAAGGUAGCCGUAUCGGAAGGUGCGGCUGGAUCACCUCCUUUCUAAGGAA